Molecule: long non-coding RNA, 594 nt
Filed under: Manihot esculenta (cassava)
Lineage: Eukaryota; Viridiplantae; Streptophyta; Magnoliopsida; Malpighiales; Euphorbiaceae
Description: long non-coding RNA (MESC_LNC008779)
Source: RNAcentral
UUUGUCUUGGAGCGGCGCGGUCAUUAAUUACUCUCGAAGUUUACCCCCUCAUUAGUUAUACAAUAACUGACGCGAAGGUAAAGGGGCAAUAAUCGAAGGUAAAGGGGCAAUAACCGACGGCCGCUGGACUUCGCCACCUCUAUUAAGGGUUGGGCCCACGGCAAUAGCCCAUCACCCGAAAGCAAUUGACGGACAGGCCUAAAAGCCCACAUGCCAUCUGCAUAGAACAAAUCCAACUCGCUCAAACCGUAAGACCGGGCUCCACUUGGACCUCUCACUCGAUGAUAGAGACCGGCCUUGUUCAUUACCUACGUAGGUCGGAAGCUUGGCUCAUAGGUUAAAAGCAGAGCUCAGGGUUACGACUGAUCCAGCUCGAAAAAAGAUAAAUAAAAAGCUCAAAGACACAAGCAGAUGAAAGCACGAUAAAGACCAGCCCUGCUUAUUACCUAAGAAGGUCAAGAGCUCGGCUCACAGGAUUAAAACAGAGCUCACGAGUACGACUAGUCCAGCUCGGAAAAAAGUAAGUCAAAAGCUUAGUUGGCCGAAUGAACUCUAGUUCUAAACGAUUAAAGGGGCAAGAAGGAGAAAGCAAUA